This is a non-coding RNA of Neolamprologus brichardi, 1216 nucleotides long. Lineage: Eukaryota; Metazoa; Chordata; Actinopteri; Cichliformes; Cichlidae. The record is from RefSeq and is a predicted model, not a curated record.
AGGUGAGACUCUCAGGACAUUCCUCUCAGGAUUCUUCCAUGCACACAGGAUGCAUAUAGGAAAAAUCAAGAAAUUUGUUUCCAAAUACAUUCUUACCUCGUCGGAAGAGAGGUCCAAUCUCCCCAAACAAAGAGAGCCUCUCAUGGAUCACAUCAUAGACUGGCUGGCAAAGGCUCCAGAGGAAAAGCUGAGGAAGAUUCCCGACAUGCUAACAGCUUCAGAUCUUAACUCCAUGGCAGAAAAACUAAAGAAGAGACUCCAUGAGAUUAAGCAGCAGAACCCAAACUGCAGCUUAACAAUAGAUGAAGUAAACAGUGCUCUCUAGUCUGCAGUUUGUUACACAUUUAUAAAAACUGUAUACCUGUUUUACAAAGGUAUGUGAUAAAGCAGAAUGUUCUUUGUAUCCUUUGUCAUUUUAUAACUAUAAAUGUACUCUAUAAACUUGAGGUUCCAUUGCUAAAGCUACUGUUUGUAUAUGCUGUACUUAACUUCAGAUGGUAUAGUUUCUGGGAAUCAGAGAUUUGGUGGUGGAAAGAGGAAGUUCAGGAAAGUAUUUGAAGGAAGAGGUUUGCAAAGAUUAAGAUUAUGAAAGCAGACAGGAGUACUGAGAGACUACGCAUGAAGGAGAAGAGGACUGAAGAGAUUGGGCUGGAAAUGAUUUGCAGCAGGUUUUGGUGGUUAAGGAUAAAUAUAUGAUAAGAAGUGAAGAGUAUGUUGCAAAUGAGAGAGAACAGAUGAAAUAAAGACAGUGAUUUAGGAAGUGCAAGUAAGGAGGAAGUAUGGGCAGCUAUGAAGAGUCUAACCGUGACCAGUCAGCCUUCCAAAAACUGUUAACUACAUGUAACUUAUGAUUUAGCAAGGGUGGAAGAAAUCAGAAAGAGGACAAAUACUUUUUUACAGCACUCUACCUGAUUCUCCAAAUUGUUUGACACAAUCUCAAAAAGCUGAAAUAUUCAAAUUUCAACUAUAGUUUACAGUUUACUAAAAAAAAUGUGCUGCAAAACUUCUCUUUUCGUACAUAUAUAUAUAUAUAUGUGUGUGUGUGUGUGUGUGGUGUGUGUGGAAUCCAACAUAGUGCAACCACUACAACAACCUGUACUGUCAUCGAGCUACCACAUGGGGUCGCCCCCUCUCCAUUUAUAUUAGUGUUGGAAAAACCACUUCCUACAAAUUAAAUCUUUAUUUCAAACAAUAAAAUGUAGCCUGCCACUCUUGA